AAACCCGGUGAUCUAGCCAUGGGCAGGUUGAAGGUUGGGUAACACUAACUGGAGGACCGAACCGACUAAUGUUGAAAAAUUAGCGGAUGACUUGUGGCUGGGGGUGAAAGGCCAAUCAAACCGGGAGAUAGCUGGUUCUCCCCGAAAGCUAUUUAGGUAGCGCCUCGUGAACUCAUCUUCGGGGGUAGAGCACUGUUUCGGCUAGGGGGCCAUCCCGGCUUACCAAACCGAUGCAAACUCCGAAUACCGAAGAAUGUUAUCACGGGAGACACACGGCGGGUGCUAACGUCCGUCGUGAAGAGGGAAACAACCCAGACCGCCAGCUAAGGUCCCAAAGUCAUGGUUAAGUGGGAAACGAUGUGGGAAGGCAUAGACAGCCAGGAUGUUGGCUUAGAAGCAGCCAUCAUUUAAAGAAAGCGUAAUAGCUCACUGGUCGAGUCGGCCUGCGCGGAAGAUGUAACGGGGCUAAACCAUGCACCGAAGCUGCGGCAGCGACGCUUAGGCGUUGUUGGGUAGGGGAGCGUUCUGUAAGCCGUUGAAGGUGGCCUGUGAGGGUUGCUGGAGGUAUCAGAAGUGCGAAUGCUGACAUAAGUAACGAUAAAGCGGGUGAAAAGCCCGCUCGCCGGAAGACCAAGGGUUCCUGUCCAACGUUAAUCGGGGCAGGGUGAGUCGACCCCUAAGGCGAGGCUGAAAAGCGUAGUCGAUGGGAAACAGGUUAAUAUUCCUGUACUUGGUGUUACUGCGAAGG
RNAcentral lists this ribosomal RNA (748 nucleotides) under Serratia marcescens. RNAcentral's name for it is "partial 23S ribosomal RNA". It matches the Rfam family "Bacterial large subunit ribosomal RNA", at positions 718 to 1462 of the family's 2925-position model. Lineage: Bacteria; Pseudomonadati; Pseudomonadota; Gammaproteobacteria; Enterobacterales; Yersiniaceae. The record is from RNAcentral.